This 67-nucleotide transfer RNA is filed under the name Lepidopsocidae sp. RS-2001. Its description in RNAcentral is "tRNA-Lys". It matches the Rfam family "tRNA". From Rfam's summary of the family: Transfer RNA (tRNA) molecules are approximately 80 nucleotides in length. Their secondary structure includes four short double-helical elements and three loops (D, anti-codon, and T loops). The record is from RNAcentral. Lineage: Eukaryota; Metazoa; Arthropoda; Insecta; Psocodea; Lepidopsocidae.
CAUUAGAUGACUGAAAAAGUACUGGUCUCUUAAACCAUUUAAUAGUAGUAAAACCUGCUUCUAAUGA